UUUCUUUCUUUUUUUUUUUUUUUUUAAAUCAGGAAUCAUGUCUGAAAGCUGCCACAACCAGUUGUAUAGGCAUGUCAAAAUGACUUUAUACAGUCAAUAUGAAACAAGCAUUAAAUAUUUUUUCUCAUGUUGUUGCUUUUAUCAUUAUGAAUUCCUUGCUUGUUGCCACCUAAGAUACGAUGGAGCAAGCACAGUCUUAAAGAAGAUUUGCUGAUUUUUUGUUUUUCUCAGCAGACCAGAGUAGGACAUCCAUAAAAAUUCAUCAGAGAGCAUUUUACUACUGAGCUGCAAAGGGAAAAACUUAAAAUGGAUAUGAAAAGUGAAGAAAGUGAUCAUAGGAGAAAACCAUUUCAGAUCAACCACCUCAGAAGAGCCAGAUUCCACUUCUGUGGCCAGGACUUUUACAUUAUGGCUGGUCCGAUUGUUUUACCCUGCGUUCUAUGCUACUAAACCUUGGAUCAUUCCUAAAGUACAAAUUCUGUUCUCGAACCACAAACAAGGCUAAAAGAUCGGAGGAAAUUCAGUGAAUAUACAGGAUUGGGGUUGUGUAUUUUUAAAAGUAUUGAGCUUUAUAAUGUAAUUAUUCAAGAAAUAGAAUCAUGGUUUUUUUAUGAUGUUGCCAGCAUUUUAAAUUACAUGUUUAUUAAGUGGCAUUGCUCAAAUAACUACAGAGUAUGCGUGGAAAUAUUUGCUGUCUGAAUAGUUUGGAGAUUCAAAGAGAAAAAUCAAGCUUCAGAGGUAUUAAAUUAUGACAUGCAGAAAA
This is a long non-coding RNA of Homo sapiens (human), 763 nucleotides long. Ensembl annotates it as mir-99a-let-7c cluster host gene. Its record names the gene MIR99AHG. Lineage: Eukaryota; Metazoa; Chordata; Mammalia; Primates; Hominidae. The record is from Ensembl.